CUUCAGCGAGCCGAGGAGCAGGGGGCGGCCCUCGGGCCGGCCCUGCCCGUAGGUGGACAGGAGCGCCUUGGCCUC
This 75-nucleotide antisense RNA is filed under the name Streptomyces vietnamensis. RNAcentral's name for it is "ASpks TB sRNA". It matches the Rfam family "ASpks TB sRNA". Lineage: Bacteria; Bacillati; Actinomycetota; Actinomycetes; Kitasatosporales; Streptomycetaceae. The record is from Rfam by way of RNAcentral.